GUGGGGAAUUUUCCGCAAUGGGCGAAAGCCUGACGGAGCGACGCCGCGUGGAGGAUGAAGGAUUUCGGUCUGUAAACUCCUGUCAGGGGGGACGAUGAUGACGGUACCCCCAAAGGAAGCAUCGGCUAACUACGUGCCAGCAGCCGCGGUAAUACGUAGGAUGCAAGCGUUGUUCGGAAUUAUUGGGCGUAAAGCGUGCGUAGGCGGCUUGUUAAGUCUGGUGUGAAAGCUAGGGGCUCAACCCCUGUGUUGCACUGGAAACUGGCAGGCUUGAGUGCGGUAGGGGAAGGUGGAAUUCCGAGUGUAGCGGUGAAAUGCGUAGAUAUUCGGAAGAACACCGGUGGCGAAGGCGACCUUCUGGGCCGCCACUGACGCUGAGGCACGAAAGCGUGGGGAGCAAACGGGAUUAGAUACCCGGGUAGUCC
RNAcentral lists this ribosomal RNA (425 nucleotides) under uncultured bacterium. RNAcentral's name for it is "bacterial SSU rRNA". It matches the Rfam family "Bacterial small subunit ribosomal RNA", at positions 354 to 796 of the family's 1533-position model. The record is from RNAcentral.